Molecule: ribosomal RNA, 468 nt
Filed under: uncultured bacterium
Lineage: Bacteria
Description: partial 16S ribosomal RNA
Rfam family: Bacterial small subunit ribosomal RNA
Source: RNAcentral
GACGAACGCUGGCGGCGUGCUUAACACAUGCAAGUCGAACGGAAAGGCCCUGCUUUUGUGGGGUGCUCGAGUGGCGAACGGGUGAGUAACACGUGAGUAACCUGCCCUUGACUUUGGGAUAACUUCAGGAAACUGGGGCUAAUACCGGAUAGGAGCUCCUGCUGCAUGGUGGGGGUUGGAAAGUUUCGGCGGUUGGGGAUGGACUGGCGGCUUAUCAGCUUGUUGGUGGGGUAGUGGCUUACAAAGGCUUGGACGGGUAGCCGGCCUGAGAGGGUGACCGGCCACAUUGGGACUGAGAUACGGCCCAGACUCCUACGGGAGGCAGCAGUGGGGAAUAUUGCACAAUGGGCGGAAGCCUGAUGCAGCAACGCCGCGUGCGGGAUGACGGCCUUCGGGUUGUAAACCGCUUUCGCCUGUGACGAAGCGUGAGUGACGGUAAUGGGUAAAGAAGCACCGGCUAACUACGUG